CGCUAUAUCCGCAUGCUGGUUCAGAGCGUCCCGUCUCGUAAGAACGAGACGGGAAGGUCGUAGGUUCGAACCCUACAGCGUCCA
RNAcentral lists this transfer RNA (84 nucleotides) under Bacteroidota bacterium. RNAcentral's name for it is "tRNA-Thr". Lineage: Bacteria; Pseudomonadati; Bacteroidota. The record is from RNAcentral.